GUUAAGUACAAGCACACCAGCAACCCAACCUCUUGGGUAUCAUCUCUGCUUCCGAUCAACCUUCAAGGGAACAGAAGGGCAGGACAACACCAGUCGCCCAAAGAUGUUCCACAAAGUGGAUCCAACCAAGUCUGAAGUCAGAGCCCAGCCCGCCUGUCCCCAUCAAGCUCUUCUCCUCCGCUGUGCCCUGGAGACGGGAAGGACACGCUUUUCCAAACAGGUGUUAUUAGCUCAACGGUGAGAACGCGGAGACUCAGAGAAGGGGGGUGGACUGUCCGGAUCACACAGCUGGUAAGGGAGAAGGGUAGGACUGACCCAGCUCUGGACAAUCCUGGAGCUUGUUUUUCUUCCAUGAGACCUCUCCGUGGGCUCAACUUCAUGCACAUUCUUUCCCAGAAAAAUCAAAGACAAACCACAAUCCGGGGCUUGGAAAUUCUGACCAGUACCCCACCUCUCCACCUCCCUCCCCCGCAGGGCCCCCUGCGGAUCUCCAGUCCCUUCCUCUCCUGCCUGUCCCUAGAAGCUGAUCCCGCCCAGUGCUGAUCCAGGCCACCUCACGGAGCACAAAGAAGCAAGCAAGUGCUCCCUGAGCUGUGGGCCGUGCUCGCCUGCCUCCUGAAGACGCCACGGGCCUCGUUCCCCUGCUAGAACAUACCGCCUGGCCUAACUGCCAAGCUCAAGUCAAAGGGGAUGUCCCUGCCAUGACACAAGGGCAGGUGACUGCCUUGGAGUUUUCUGGCUUAAAGACAAGUCAUAGGGCGCCUGUAUCUGAGUGGGGAGAGAGCUCAGCUUGCAAAGGACCUGCCUGAUCCCCCCACUCGACACAACAUUCCACCUUCGUUUCUAAAUGUUUAGAAUCUGAAAAAACUAUCAAACGAACAUCUGGGCCCACCCCGGAUCGGAAACCUUGGAUCUCCUUCCAGAGAUUUAUGGUCUUGCCUCUUUCCCACGUCUCCAGCUGUCACACAGGAGAAGUGACCUCUCAAUGCAACUUCCUUUCUAACAUGUUGGUACUUGGCUUGCAA
Molecule: long non-coding RNA, 1025 nt
Organism: Herpailurus yagouaroundi (jaguarundi)
Lineage: Eukaryota; Metazoa; Chordata; Mammalia; Carnivora; Felidae
Exons: 3
Source: RefSeq, a predicted model, not a curated record